CCUACGGGAGGCAGCAGUGGGGAAUUUUGGACAAUGGGCGCAAGCCUGAUCCAGCAAUGCCGCGUGCAGGAUGAAGGCCUUCGGGUUGUAAACUGCUUUUGUACGGAACGAAACGGUGAGCUCUAAUACAGUUUGCUAAUGACGGUACCGUAAGAAUAAGCACCGGCUAACUACGUGCCAGCAGCCGCGGUAAUACGUAGGGUGCGAGCGUUAAUCGGAAUUACUGGGCGUAAAGCGUGCGCAGGCGGUGAUGUAAGACAGAUGUGAAAUGCCCGGGCUCAACCUGGGACCUGCAUUUGUGACUGCAUCGCUAGAGUACGGUAGAGGGGGAUGGAAUUCCGCGUGUAGCAGUGAAAUGCGUAGAUAUGCGGAGGAACACCGAUGGCGAAGGCAAUCCCCUGGACCUGUACUGACGCUCAUGCACGAAAGCGUGGGGAGCAAACAGGAUUAGAUACCCUGGUAGUCCACGCCCUAAACGAUGUCAACUGGUUGUUGGGUCUUCACUGACUCAGUAACGAAGCUAACGCGUGAAGUUGACCGCCUGGGGAGUACGGCCGCGAAGGUUGAAACUCAAAGGAUGACGG
This 584-nucleotide ribosomal RNA is filed under the name uncultured bacterium. RNAcentral's name for it is "bacterial SSU rRNA". It matches the Rfam family "Bacterial small subunit ribosomal RNA", at positions 338 to 916 of the family's 1533-position model. The record is from RNAcentral.